RNAcentral lists this ribosomal RNA (252 nucleotides) under uncultured bacterium. RNAcentral describes it as "partial 16S ribosomal RNA". It matches the Rfam family "Bacterial small subunit ribosomal RNA", at positions 524 to 776 of the family's 1533-position model. The record is from RNAcentral.
UACGGAGGAUGCGAGCGUUAUCCGGAUUUAUUGGGUUUAAAGGGUGCGUAGGCGGGCUUUUAAGUCAGCGGUAAAAAUUCGGGGCUCAACCCCGUCCGGCCGUUGAAACUGGGGGUCUUGAGUGGGCGAGAAGAAGGCGGAAUGCGUGGUGUAGCGGUGAAAUGCAUAGAUAUCACGCAGAACCCCGAUUGCGAAGGCAGCCUUCCGGCGCCCUACUGACACUGAGGCACGAAAGUGCGGGGAUCGAACAGG